This 1792-nucleotide long non-coding RNA is filed under the name Homo sapiens (human). RNAcentral describes it as "HSALNT0073411". Lineage: Eukaryota; Metazoa; Chordata; Mammalia; Primates; Hominidae. The record is from RNAcentral.
UAUUCUGCUUAAACAUAAUUUUAAUGACUAAAUUGCAUCCUCUUUAUUGAUGAACCAUUAUUAUGCACCAAUUCCCCAACAUUCUUAAAGAAAUUUUGGAGGUAGCUGGCAAGAUGGCCCAAUAGGAACAGCUCCGGUCUGCAACUCCCAGUGAGAUCAAUGCAGAAGGCGAGUUAUUUCUGCAUUUCCUACUGAGGUACCCUGCUCAUCUCAUUGAGACUGGUUAGACAGUGGAUGCAGCCCAUGGAGGGCAAGCCAAAGUAGGGUGGGGCAUUGCCUCAUCUGGGAAGCACAAGGGGUCGGGGAACUCCCUCCCCUAGCCAAGGGAAGCCGUGAGGAACUGUGCUGUGAGGGAUGGUGCUACCUGUCCGAGACACUACACUUUUCCCAUGGUUUUCACAACCCGCAGACCAGGAGAUUUCCUCAAGUGCCUAUAUCACCAGGGCCCUGGGUUUGAAGCAUAAAACUGGGAGGCCAUUUGGGCAGACACCGAACUAGCUGCAGGAGUUUUGUUGUUGUUGUUGUUGUUGUUGUUGUUUGUUUGUUUUUUUCCAUACCCCAGUGACACCUGGAACACAAGCAAGAUAGAACCGUUCAGUCCCCUGGAAAGGGGGUUGAAGCUAGGGAGCCACGUGGUCUAGCUCAGCGGAUCCCACCUCCAUGGAGCUCAGCAAGCUAAGAUCCACUGGCUUGAAAUUUUCACUGCCAGCACAGCAGUCUGAAGUUGACCUGGGACACUUCAGCUUGGUGGGGGAAGGGUCGUCUGUCAUUGCUGAGGCUUGAGCAGGCGGGUUUCCCCUCAUAGUAUAAAUAAAGCCGCCAGGAAAUUCAAACUCCACAGAGCCCACUGCAGCUCAGCAAAGCCGCUGUAGCCAACUGCCUCUCUCGAUUCCUCCUUUCUGGGCAGGGCACCUUAUGUUGCUGCCGGCAGACCUGUAAUAGGGUUUCUCAUUCGUCUGGGUUGGUUUUAGUUUUUUCUGGGCUUUAGUUUUUUCUGUUCCAGCAGACCCUCCUCGUUCAAGUCCCCAUAGGACCCUACCUAUCCCUAUUGGUCCUUGCAAAUCUCUGCCAGUCUUUGCUAGUCUCUACUUUUGUACCUCUUUAGGGUACUGACCUUAUAUUGCUAGUCUUUGCUAGUCUUUAUCUAUCCCUAUCUGUCCCGGUCUGUCCCUAUGGUACCUGUUAGUUCCUUCAAGUCCCUGUCUUUUCUUACCUAUCUCUACUUAUCUCUAUUUAUCUCUAUCCCUGCAGGUCUCUUCAGGUCUCCGUUUGUCCCUGAUAGUCCCUGUUGGGGCACCACUUGUGGCUGACUGCCACGGUUACUACUUGAGACCAUCACUACAGCAGUUACUACUGUUACCACUUGAGACCACCACUACAUCUGAACGAAGGGACAAACAUAGAAAUGAAAACCAAGGAAAAAAGAAACUAUUUUAAGGAAAGGCUAGCAUGGGGAAGAAGAAGAGAGCUCCCUACUACCCAAUGAUCAUAGGCCACCCCCUGUAUAUAUUGGAUAACAAGAGCAGGAAGGAGGAGGUAAUGAUUGAUCAGCUGCUCAAUUGAUCACAGGUUCAUAUUUUUACUAACAGGCUUCAAUCAUGCCCAAUCAUAAGAAACACUUGUGCGGCCUCCAACACCUCCUCAAGGAGAACUACAAACAAUUGUUCAAGGAAAUAAGAGAGGACACAACCGAAUGGAAAAACAUUCCACGCUCAUGGAUAGGAAUAAUCACUGUCAUGAAAAUGGCCAUACUGCCCAAAGUAAUUUAUAGAUUCAAUGAUAUCCCCAUCAA